Gadus macrocephalus (Pacific cod) is the source of this 6316-nucleotide RNA transcript. It is a transcript of the gene named formin-like 3, with no coding region annotated. The record is from RefSeq and is a predicted model, not a curated record. NCBI's taxonomy places the organism in Eukaryota, Metazoa, Chordata, Actinopteri, Gadiformes, Gadidae. The transcript has 26 exons.
GCAGCAAUAAUGAAUGGAAACGCACUGUAGCCAAGGAAGUUUCGCUGCGUUCAAGUCACUGUUAAGGUUUAGACCCUGAGCCUAUACUUAUAAAAAAAACAACCGAAUUUCUGUGUGAAGAAUGGACUGGCCAGGCAAAACCGAGACUAUUCUUUGGAAUCGUAAACAAUUAUAUUGCGAGUGUUACUUUUUUUGAUAGUGCGUUUCGGGGGACAUAUUGGACAGUCUAUGAUAGGCUACUGUAGCCUGAUGUGAUUGUGUUACAUCUAUAUGAAAGUAAUGCGCUGUCAGCUUUUUUCCUUGUUUUCCCACACAUGGAGGUAAUGCGUUGUUGAACAAUAUUAUUUCCUUUGGAAUACCUUGAAAGAGUUGUAGGAUUUUUUUUCAACCAGUUGGAGGAACUCGACCAGUUGAGAAAUGGGGAAUAUUGAGAGUGUGGAUGGGCACUCGGAGAUGAAGCCUCACAUCAUGCCCCUGAAGGUCCCUAUGCCCGAUUCCACAGAGUUGGAGGAGAAGUUUGCUAUUGUUUUGAAUUCCAUGAAUCUACCUCCAGACAAAGCAAGACUUCUAAGACAGUAUGACAACGAGAAGAAGUGGGACCUUAUAUGUGACCAGGAGAGAUUUCAAGUAAAGAACCCGCCACACACAUACAUCCAGAAGCUACGCAGCUACCUAGAUCCUGGAGUCACCCGAAAGAAGUUCCGAAGGCGGGUCCAAGAAUCCACUAAAGUCUUGCGGGAGUUGGAGAUCUCCCUGCGGACCAACCACAUCGGGUGGGUCAGAGAGUUCCUCAACGAUGAGAACCGAGGUCUUGACAUCUUGGUGGAGUACCUCUCCUUUGCCCAGUGUGCUGUUAUGUUGAAUUUUGAGGGUCUGGAGGUGGGGGAGGACGGGCCACUGGAGAUGAGUAAGUCCUGGAGCAGGUCCAUCGAGGAUCUGCACCAGACGGGCAGCCAGCCCUUCUGCAACACCCUGGUGCGCUCGGCCCGCCAGUCCGUCCUGCGAUAUGGCUCGGUGACGAACACCAAAACCAUCAAGAACUCCCGUCUCGUCAGCCAGAAGGACGAUGUACACGUGUGCAUCAUGUGCCUGAGAGCCAUCAUGAACUACCAGUACGGCUUCAACAUGGUCAUGUCCCAUCCGCACGCUGUCAACGAGAUCGCUCUCAGCCUGAACAAUAAGAACUCGAGGACGAAAGCGCUGGUGUUGGAGCUGCUGGCCGCCGUCUGUCUGGUCCGAGGAGGCCACGAAAUCAUCCUCUCAGCGUUCGAUAACUUUAAAGAGGUGUGUAAGGAGAAGCAGCGAUUCGAGAGGCUGAUGGAUUACUUUCGCUCUGAGGAAGCAAACAUUGACUUCAUGGUGGCCUGCAUGCAGUUCAUCAACAUCAUGGUCCACUCGGUGGAGGACAUGAACUUCAGGGUCCACCUGCAGUACGAGUUCACUAAGCUGGGCCUGGACGACUACUUGGAGAAAUCGAAGCACACAGAGAGCGACAAGCUGUCGGUGCAGAUCCAGGCCUACCUUGACAACGUGUUCGACGUCGGCGGUCUACUGGAAGAUGCAGAAACUAAGAACGCAGCGCUGGAGAAGGUGGACGAGCUCGAGGAGCACCUGUCCCACGUGACGGAGAAGCUGCUGGACUUGGAGAAUGAGACCAUGAUGAAAGUAGCAGACCUGGAGAAGAUUGUCCUUCAAAAGGAUAAGGAGCUACACGUAAUGCGGGAAACCUCUGAGUCGACCAGCACCCAGGUGAGCACCCUGAGGAGGAUGAUCAAGGAGAAGGACGCGGCCUACCAGAGACACUUCAGCAUCGAGAAGCGGCUGAUGGAGCUGGAGCAACAGGGCACCAUCCGCCUGCACAAGAAACCCGACGGCGACAUCGCCAUCGAGCCGCUAGCCAGCGGCGCCUGCGGAGGCGGAGUCCCGGGCGGUGCCGGUAUCCCUGGCGACCGUGGCCUCGGGUUCCCGCUGGGCGGCGGCGGACAGUCGCUGCUGCUGCAGGAGCCUCCUGUCGAGCGAACGGCGGCAGAGGGCGUCGACCCCAGUUUACCCCCCGCCAGCGAGGCUCCGCCCCCGCCGCCUCCUCCACCCCCGCCGCCUCCACCGCUUCCCUCGGCCGCAGGCAUCCCGUGUGCACCAGGUCCGCCCCCACCUCCACCUCUGCCGGACGGUUCUCGCUCCUUCCCCAUACUGAGUUUGGGCCUGUCAGCGAUCAGAAUCAAGAAGCCAAUCAAAACGAAGUUCCGCUUGCCAAUCUUCAACUGGACGGCGCUCAAGCCCAAUCAGAUCAACGGCACCGUCUUCAACGAGAUUGACGACGAGCGCGUCCUGGAGGAGUUGGACCUAGAGAGGUUUGAGGAGCUGUUCAAGACCAGAGCCCAGGUGGCUACGGUGGAUCUGUCCAGCACUACAAACAAGGUGGCCAACAAGGCUGUGAACAAAAUCACCCUGCUGGACGCCAAUCGCUCCAAGAACCUGGCCAUCACACUGAGAAAGGCCAACAAGAAACCUGAGGAGAUCUGCAAAGCCAUAGAGAAGUUCGACCUGAAGGCCCUGCCCGUGGACUUCGUGGAGUGUCUGAUGCGCUUCCUGCCCACGGAGGCCGAGGUGAAGGUGCUGCGGCAGUACGAGCGCGAGCGGCGCCCGCUGGACCAGCUGGCGGAGGAGGACCGCUUCAUGAUGCUCUUCAGUAAGAUCGAGAGGCUCACGCAGCGCAUGAACAUCAUCACCUUCGUGGGGAACUUCUCCGACAGCAUCACCAUGCUGACGCCGCAGCUCAACGCCGUGAUCGCCGCCUCCGGCUCCGUCAAGUCCUCGUCCAAGUUGAGGAGGAUGCUUGAGAUCAUCCUAGCCCUGGGUAACUACAUGAACAGCAGCAAAAGAGGCUCAGUGUAUGGCUUUAAACUGCAGAGUCUGGAUCUGCUGUUGGACACCAAGUCGACAGACAGGAAGAUGACCCUGCUCCACUACAUCGCGCUCAUCGUCAAGGAGAAGUACUCAGACCUGGCAAACUUCUACAGCGAGCUUCACUAUGUGGACAAGGCAGCAGCAGUGUCCUUGGAGAACGUGCUGCUGGACGUGCGGGAGCUGGGCAAGGGCAUGGACCUGAUCAAGAGGGAGUGCAGCCGGCACGACCACCCGGUGCUCAAGGCCUUCCUGCACUCCAGCGACGCCCUGCUGGACAAGCUGCAGAAGGACGCCAAGGCAUCGGAGGAGGCCUUCAACAAUGUGGUGAACUUCUUUGGCGAGAGCUCAAAGACGACUCCCCCGUCUGUGUUCUUCCCCGUGUUCGUGAGGUUCAUCAAAGCUUACAAGGAUGCAGUGGAGGAAAACCAGCAGAGGAAAAAGCAGGAGGAAGCCUUGAGAGAGAAGUUACUGGCGCAGGAGGCUAAACAGCACGACCCCAAGGUCCAGGCCCACAAGAAGAAGCAGCAGCAGCAGGAGCUGAUCGCAGAGCUGAGGAAGCGGCAGGCUAAAGAGCACCGGCCCGUGUACGAGGGCAAGGACGGGACCAUAGAGGACAUCAUCACAGUGUUGAAGAGCGUGCCCUUCACAGCGCGCACCGCUAAGCGGGGCUCGCGGUUCUUCUGUGAAGCCAACCUCUGCGAAGACGGCAACUGCUAGCCCUCCUCCCAACCCUACCCCCACACACACUAAUGCCAAGGUUGUCUGCAGAUCUCAGAAACCAGCCGUUCCUGAGAGCCGACGCCUUGCUGCGGAGCGGCUGGAAGAGGCCUUAAACCACCCGUGUGUCCCCCAACACUUACAACCCCCCGCCUCCCCAGACCACCUCCCCUGUGCCCUGUGUCCUGGUGGGGGUCCCCCGUACCACCUCCCCUGUGCCCUGUGUCCUGGUGGGGGUCCCCCGUACCCCGGACCACCUCCCCUGUGCCCUGUGUCCUGGUGGGGGUCCCCCGUACCCCGGACCACCUCCCCUGUGCCCUGUGUCCUGGUGGGGGUCCCCCGUACCCCGGACCACCUCCCCUGUGCCCUGUGUCCUGGUGGGGGUCCCCGUACCCCGGACCACCUCCCUGCCCUGAACCCCACGCCUGAGUCAACAGAGAGACUGGAAGUGAUGACCGGGGGCAUCAAACCCAUGACAUAGUGCCGUCUGGGUAUUUAUUUAUUUAUGGAGAUACUUCUGCAGGAAUAAUUACAGCGACUGCAUUGGGCCGACUUUCCUUUCUCACUCCAAAGAUAGACUCUAACAUCGCCAUGGGCUCAGUUAGACGGACUGCACGAGAUCCUGCUGGACCUUGGCACUGGGAUCAAGGCAGUGUAUGAAACCCUAAUUAAAGAGGGUUCCAUACACUAUUUAAAGAGGCUUCAUGCAGGUGUGGUCAGUCUGGACUCCGUUGGCCAAAGCAGGAAGGACAAUGCUUCUACCCACAAGUGCCUGCAAAACAUUCCUAAAGCCAUAACGUCGGGCCGGGCAUGAACCCGGCUUGCUGACACAUAUGCUAACUCUUAAAGGAGAACUCUUGCUCUGACGAGGUUUGAUCUGUCUUUCCUCUGAAUAUCCAAGAAGAUCACGAGUAACAGAGAACGUGGAACGACUUUUGGAAGGACUUGAGAUUGAGCACACCGUCGACAACAGAACAGAGACUUGGAGUUGUUUGCAUUCCUAGUUUCAAUAUUGUACGCUUCCAUCGGUCCUUUGGACUGCUAGCCAAACCAAACAUGCUUUCAUGUCUUACUUUUGUCAAAAGUGCCUUUCGUAACGACAGUAUUAUUUUCAUUAAGUCAGCCAUAACGUGUAUCUUUGAAGUCUUAAAUGCAAUUUCCUUUUUACUAUGGCAUGAACACUAAAAAUAUAAUCAACAUACAAAGGUUAAAAAUAUGAAAGUUAAAUGGAGGAAAUGUCAGGGGAAAGAGCUUUUUAAUUUGCCUCUUUGCAAUCAAUUUGGUGUUCUGUUUUGAAGGAAGAUGUUAAAAACUGUCAUGUAUCUGAACUUUAUAAAUAUAUGUAUAUAUAUAUUUGACAACACUUUCUGUCAAACUUAGGAAGUGACACAAGAAUGAAGAUUAUUUGAUAUAGACUGCUGUUUUAUAAGUCAGAGGUGGAUAAAUUGUAAAUGCAGUGGAUGAAGGAUAUUUCUAUUAUAAUCAUGCAGGUUGGGAUGUCUUUGUGCUUCUAUUGUACAUCAGAUCAAUUCCCUCUUAAAAGCAUCGAGUAGCAAAAUGAUUGUGCACUUUGAGAAUUAUUUUUGUGUUCUAGUAUGGAACUGUCAAUAGAGAGCGACCAAAUGUACACUACUCCGUUUGCCUUAACCUUGUUUUAGACAUUAUUUGAAGUGGAAAUGUCCUGGGCCAAAUACAUGCAAAUCAAUGAAUGAAGAAAAAAGCGACUUUCUUUGAAAUUGAAAUAAAGUGAAAUGCUUGCAUUUCUCUUUUCCUUAACAAUCAGUCAAUCUAUACGAGAACUUUAAAAAAUAUAUCUUUCUGAUGGACAUAUAAAAUAAAAAAUAUAUAAAGCAGAAGGUGGGACAUUCAAACAUUUCUACAAAUUCACAUUUUAUUUCCGAAAUUUGUGGUUAUGAGUUAUAUAUUCAAUGGUAAUUCACUGAUGUUUUGCUCCAGCCAUGAUGACAGAAGCCAUUCUAUUUCAAAUGAAGGUCAGAGUCACCAUACAUUUCUACUAUAAAAAUCCAUUUAAUUUCUUAUAUCAAAAAAAUCAAAAUUAACCAAAAUUAAAACAAACAACUAAACCAAAAACAUCCAUGUGAGUUCUGCAAUCCGAGAGACAUUCUCAAAAUCAAGAAAACCAAAAACUAAAAUGAUUUUUCUAAUAAGCAGUGAAAUAAAGAACGUAGCAUGGCGGGACUUUUAAAAGCACAUUUUGUGAAUACUGUUAAGUAGUGGAAGGGUGGUGCCAAGGGCGUGCGGUGUGAGGAAGCUGUGGAAGAUUGAAUAAGAGGUGCAGAGACGGAGCAAUCCAAACCGCGACAGGUUCAAAGAGGAGGGCAGAUGGCUAGCGAUAGCAUUAGCAGCAGCAAGGCAAAGGAAUCAACAAAGGAAUGCUUAUCAGGAGGGACAUCAGCCCCCCCUACCCCCCCCCGUUAGGAAUGCACUUAACAAUGAGCACUAACCCAAAUUACAUGAACACCCCCCUCCCCAAAACAAACAAACAAACAAACAAACAAACAAACAUCAAAUACACAAGAAAUCAACCCAACAACUUCAAAACUCAUUUCAUACAAGAACGUACCAUCGACUUGGCUCCCGGGCCUUUCCUGACAAAAAAAAUAACAUUUUACAAUGGAGGACAAAAAGACCAAAAGCUAAAUACAGCCGUUCAUUUACUAAAUGUUACGGA